RNAcentral lists this small nuclear RNA (164 nucleotides) under Sorex araneus (European shrew). Its description in RNAcentral is "U1 spliceosomal RNA (ENSSARG00000014723.1)". It matches the Rfam family "U1 spliceosomal RNA". From Rfam's summary of the family: U1 is a small nuclear RNA (snRNA) component of the spliceosome (involved in pre-mRNA splicing). Its 5' end forms complementary base pairs with the 5' splice junction, thus defining the 5' donor site of an intron. Lineage: Eukaryota; Metazoa; Chordata; Mammalia; Eulipotyphla; Soricidae. The record is from RNAcentral.
AUACUCACCAGGCAGGGAGAAUAUCAUGAUCACAAAGGUGUUUUCCUCAGGGUGAGGUUUAUCUAUUGCAAUCCAGAUGUGUUGACCUCUGAGAUUCCUCCAAAUGUUAGAAAAUCAACUGCAUAAUUCGUUGUAGUGGAGGACAGUACUUGUACUCUCUCCUG